AUUGAACGCUGGCGGCAUGCUUUACACAUGCAAGUCGAACGGUAACAGGGAGCUUGCUCCGCUGACGAGUGGCGAACGGGUGGGUAAUGCAUCGGAACGUGCCGUGUAGUGGAGAUAACGUAGCGAAAGUUACGCUAAUACCGCAUACGAUCUAAGGAUGAAANCGGGGGACUCGCAAGAGCCUCGCGCGAUUGGAGCGGCCGAUAUCAGAUUAGGUAGUUGGUGAGGUAAAGGCUCACCAAGCCGACGAUCUGUAGCUGGUCUGAGAGGACGACCAGCCACACUGGGACUGAGACACGGCCCAGACUCCUACGGGAGGCAGCAGUGGGGAAUUUUGGACAAUGGGCGCAAGCCUGAUCCAGCAAUGCCGCGUGCAGGAUGAAGGCCUUCGGGUUGUAAACUGCUUUUGUACGGAACGAAACGGUGCUCACUAAUACUGGGUGCUAAUGACGGUACCGUAAGAAUAAGCACCGGCUAACUACGUG
This 485-nucleotide ribosomal RNA is filed under the name uncultured bacterium. Its description in RNAcentral is "bacterial SSU rRNA". It matches the Rfam family "Bacterial small subunit ribosomal RNA", at positions 30 to 507 of the family's 1533-position model. The record is from RNAcentral.